Pygoscelis adeliae (Adelie penguin) is the source of this 738-nucleotide long non-coding RNA. RefSeq lists it as uncharacterized. NCBI's taxonomy places the organism in Eukaryota, Metazoa, Chordata, Aves, Sphenisciformes, Spheniscidae. The record is from RefSeq and is a predicted model, not a curated record. The transcript has 6 exons.
UAAACAGUAGAGCGAUUUCUUCUAAUCCGGAGGAAUUGGAAACGUCCCCUACUGUUUAAUGUAAGAAAUCCCACUCUGGCAAUUAAAAACAACGUAAUACCAAGAAUUGAAGGGAUGGAUUGCUGGCACUAUCUUCUAAACAGCGCAGCAAGUGAAGUGAAGAGAUGAGUUUGUUACCAGCUUUGGGAAUCUUCAACCUGGACUCUGCCACGCUGUUACCUUGCAAGCAGAAAGGUGUCACAUGAAUCCCGGCGCUACAGAAGCGCUAUGACAUCGGAUGACUUUCUCCUCUGUCUUCGAGCCUUGUGUAUGCGCACACAGCCAACAGUAGACUCCAUCCACUUCUAGAAGCAUGGGCGUUUAAGAAGCUUGAAAACAGCAGCCUGAAAUGUGGAGUUCUAAUGCGCUUGGAAAUGCUUUCAUGGCCUUUCCUGCUCCUCAGAAGUACUGUUUGAUUCAAUAGUAAGGCAGAGGAGUAGCUGUUUUGUGAAAAUGUGUGAAUAAUCCUCGAAUGACGUUCAGGGAGUUUUCAUCACUGAGGUCAAACGGAAAUACAGGAUUUGGUGCUAUGCAUAAUGGAGACUUGCCUAAGCAAAGAAGAAAACAAGACUUAUGCUAGAAGACUUGAUAAACUCUUGCCAGGACUUUGAAGUAGGUGUGAGAUUACCGGACUGUAGAAGUUCAAGUUUAUCCUUUUUAUAUGAAGAUAAGUCUCCUAUGUAACAGAUACCACCCUUA